UAGGGAAUAUUGGACAAUGGGGGCAACCCUGAUCCAGCCAUGCCGCGUGAGUGAAGAAGGCCCUCGGGUUGUAAAGCUCUUUUGUCCGGAAAGAAAAGCUUCGGGUUAAUACCCCGGGGUUCUGACGGUACCGGAAGAAUAAGCACCGGCUAACUUCGUGCCAGCAGCCGCGGUAAUACGAAGGGUGCAAGCGUUACUCGGAAUUACUGGGCGUAAAGCGUGCGUAGGUGGUUGUUUAAGUCUGAUGUGAAAGCCCUGGGCUCAACCUGGGAAUGGCAUUGGAAACUGGGCAGCUAGAGGGCGGUAGAGGGUAGUGGAAUUCCCGGUGUAGCAGUGAAAUGCGUAGAGAUCGGGAGGAACAUCUGUGGCGAAGGCGACUGCCUGGACCAGCACUGACACUGAGGCACGAAAGCGUGGGGAGCAAACA
RNAcentral lists this ribosomal RNA (427 nucleotides) under uncultured bacterium. RNAcentral describes it as "bacterial SSU rRNA". It matches the Rfam family "Bacterial small subunit ribosomal RNA", at positions 355 to 774 of the family's 1533-position model. The record is from RNAcentral.